GAUGAACGCUGGCGGCGUGCCUAAUACAUGCAAGUCGAGCGAACAGACGAGGAGCUUGCUCCUCUGACGUUAGCGGCGGACGGGUGAGUAACACGUGGAUAACCUGCCUAUAAGACUGGGAUAACUUCGGGAAACCGGAGCUAAUACCGGAUAAUAUAUUGAACCGCAUGGUUCAAUAGUGAAAGACGGUUUUGCUGUCACUUAUAGAUGGAUCCGCGCCGCAUUAGCUAGUUGGUAAGGUAACGGCUUACCAAGGCAACGAUGCGUAGCCGACCUGAGAGGGUGAUCGGCCACACUGGAACUGAGACACGGUCCAGACUCCUACGGGAGGCAGCAGUAGGGAAUCUUCCGCAAUGGGCGAAAGCCUGACGGAGCAACGCCGCGUGAGUGAUGAAGGUCUUCGGAUCGUAAAACUCUGUUAUUAGGGAAGAACAAAUGUGUAAGUAACUAUGCACGUCUUGACGGUACCUAAUCAGAAAGCCCCGGCUAACUACGUG
This 497-nucleotide ribosomal RNA is filed under the name uncultured bacterium. RNAcentral's name for it is "partial 16S ribosomal RNA". It matches the Rfam family "Bacterial small subunit ribosomal RNA", at positions 28 to 507 of the family's 1533-position model. The record is from RNAcentral.